Camelus dromedarius (Arabian camel) is the source of this 386-nucleotide long non-coding RNA. RefSeq lists it as uncharacterized. The transcript is spliced from 4 exons. The record is from RefSeq and is a predicted model, not a curated record. NCBI's taxonomy places the organism in Eukaryota, Metazoa, Chordata, Mammalia, Artiodactyla, Camelidae.
GUGGGGUGGGAGUCUGCCUUUUGUACAGCCGGUGGUAUCGUGUUGCUUUGGGCAUCCCUGUGGCUGAAUUCCUGCAGUACACUCGGUGCCUGUUUCCUAAUCUGCAGAACUGGAAUGAUGUUAACCAUCCCGCAGUGCAUUCCAUGCUGCAUCCUCGCCUAGAAUUGAGUGGAAGCAAGUCCAUCUCAGAAGGGACAUACCUGAAGAGAAAUGGCUUUCCAGACUCUGAAGGGCAGAGAAAGCACCAGCCUGGGUUAGAGAAAGAGAACAGCAUCUCUGAGCCCAUCCUGGGUGACCUCACAGAGAUCACCCUAGUGGCCCAGGCUAGUGACAGGGAACAUGUACCUUCCUGCAGCCAACCCCAGACGUCCACUGAUGUAUCAUAU